AACGACCGUCGUGGAGCUUGUAUGUUUAUUGUUUAUGUUAUUGUUCUUUCUUCAUGUAAUAAUAAAACCCAGUAUGUAUUAAUUAGAUUUUUUUAGAAAUGAAACUUCGCUAUGAAGAGUCGAGUUAGAACGGAAGCAGACCCACGUGACCUCUGACCGGCGGAAGUCAACAGUACCAUUUAAACACGUGGAGUGGGAUGUCUAGGAUAUUUCCGUCUAUAGUAUUUAGCUUAUUAACCGAAUGUAAACUUUUUUUUUUUAAAGGAGGACGUAUUUUAGCCGACGAUUUUAAUUAUACAAAGUCGUCCCCUCAGUAGCUGAUUGGGAUUUAAUGUGAAACUCGUUCUGUGGAGAUUGUAAACAAACACUACAAUGAGUUUCCCCUUAAACGCGUCUUUCCUAAACACAAGCGAAGCCUCUGUUAUCGAGUCUGCAGUCAGAACGGCGGUCAUGUCCAUCCUGAAGGUUUUCUGUGAGCUGAAUGACAAGAGGUCGAGGUGCUAUGAGGAGAAGUUAACCGAGGCGCAAAGACAAAACACGGCGCUGAAGAUCCAGUUAAAAGCAGCCGAGCAGGAGCUUCACACCUUACGACAGAUCUCUACUGACUACAGCAUCUCAGCUGAAGUGACCUUGAGCCAAGACUUGAGCUCAGAUGUUCGAGAAGAACAGGCAGGUUUCCACAGCGAUGCCGAUCUGCUGAUAAAGGAAGAACCUUCUUACGAGAACACGUUGUGUUUGAAGAGUGAAGUGACAGAUGAAAGAUCUGCACCAGAGUGUGAUUAUCAGAGUGAGAUACACAAUGUCCAGGUUUCCCAACAGACUCCAGGUUCAGAGGUGUGGAACAUGCACCAUGAGCAAACAUUCAGUUCAGCAAGAUCCAGCCUUCACCAGACCAGACAGAACUGGAUUCCUGGUGACGUUCUUACAGGGAAAUUAAAAAGCAGAGAGUGUGUGAGGAGAUACAGAGAAAGGAUCCGGGCUGACCCAGAAAAGUACCACGCCUGGAAGGAGAAGGAACGCUUGAGGUAUCAGCAGAAGAGAAAGCCCAUUAGCGAUCUGUCUGAACCCAUGAAGAAGCUGAAGAGGAAGGCUUGGAGAGAGGCUAAGAGACGUGAUCGUGCUAGAAAGCAGGUUCAAGCAGCUUCCGCGCACGUGAUCCAGACAAGUGACUCGUGAAGGGUGGACUGUCUCGCUCUUUAACUCGACCGGAGAGAAGAACCGCAUGUGCUGCUUUGUGCUCACGUCACGACGGGGAGAUUAACAGGCAGCACAGUGGAAAGAUCUCUGCUGAUCACAUGAUCAUCUCAUCUGCAGUGAGAACAAGCGCUCAUGAUCUCUCCGCAGGAGAAAACGAAUCCAGGAUCUCCCUGAACCCAUGCAGAGGCUGCAGAGGGAAGCUUGGAGAGAAGCUACGAGGCGGCACCGCGCAAGAAAGUCGGCACAAGCGACUGUCUCUGCCCCAACACUCGACCCAUGACCCCUACACUGUUAUUUAUAUAUUUAUGUAAUCUAAUGGCAACAAAAGCUCUCAUUUGUAUACAGUAGGUAUCUUGUUCACAUCUUGUUCAUAUCUUGUUCAUAUCUUGGUAACAUCUCCAUCUCCUUAUUUAAUAUCUAAUUAGUUAUACAAUGUAUUAAAAGACAAAAAGCUAUUCAAAUCUGUUUACUUAUUGUUAUGAGUGUUGUUUAUUUGUCGGUGCUACACAUUCAAGCACCUCUGUGUUGUGUUGAACAAAUUUAUUUAAUAUGAUUCAUUACAAUAAAAGUAAGUCAAUAACUGCA
RNA transcript from Tachysurus fulvidraco (yellow catfish), 1782 nucleotides. RefSeq lists it as uncharacterized. The record is from RefSeq and is a predicted model, not a curated record. The transcript is spliced from 5 exons. Lineage: Eukaryota; Metazoa; Chordata; Actinopteri; Siluriformes; Bagridae.